AGGGAUAUAGCUCAGUGGUAGAGUGUAUGCUUAGCAUGCGUGAGAUUGUGGGUUCAAUGCCCAGUACCUCCA
Molecule: transfer RNA, 72 nt
Filed under: Camelus bactrianus (Bactrian camel)
Lineage: Eukaryota; Metazoa; Chordata; Mammalia; Artiodactyla; Camelidae
Also listed under: 2 other names
Rfam family: tRNA
About the family: Transfer RNA (tRNA) molecules are approximately 80 nucleotides in length. Their secondary structure includes four short double-helical elements and three loops (D, anti-codon, and T loops). Further hydrogen bonds mediate the characteristic L-shaped molecular structure. tRNAs have two regions of fundamental functional importance: the anti-codon, which is responsible for specific mRNA codon recognition, and the 3' end, to which the tRNAs corresponding amino acid is attached (by aminoacyl-tRNA synthetases). tRNAs cope with the degeneracy of the genetic code in two manners: having more than one tRNA (with a specific anti-codon) for a particular amino acid; and 'wobble' base-pairing, i.e. permitting non-standard base-pairing at the 3rd anti-codon position.
Source: Rfam by way of RNAcentral